This 275-nucleotide ribosomal RNA is filed under the name uncultured bacterium. Its description in RNAcentral is "partial 16S ribosomal RNA". It matches the Rfam family "Bacterial small subunit ribosomal RNA", at positions 523 to 796 of the family's 1533-position model. The record is from RNAcentral.
AUACGUAGGGGGCAAGCGUUGUCCGGAAUUACUGGGCGUAAAGAGCUCGUAGGCGGCUCAGCAAGUCGGUCGUGAAAGCCCGAGGCUCAACCUCGGAACUGCGGUCGAUACUGCUGAGGCUAGAGUCCGGUAGAGGAGAGUGGAAUUCCCGGUGUAGCGGUGGAAUGCGCAGAUAUCGGGAGGAACACCAGUGGCGAAGGCGGCUCUCUGGGCCGGUACUGACGCUGAGGAGCGAAAGCGUGGGGAGCAAACAGGAUUAGAAACCCUAGUAGUCC